This is an RNA transcript of Mastomys coucha (southern multimammate mouse), 1190 nucleotides long. It is a transcript of the gene named cell surface glycoprotein CD200 receptor 5-like, with no coding region annotated. The transcript has 8 exons. Lineage: Eukaryota; Metazoa; Chordata; Mammalia; Rodentia; Muridae. The record is from RefSeq and is a predicted model, not a curated record.
ACAGGAUGUGACUACAAAGAGCACAUGUAGCCAGACAGAUCUGCUCUGCUGGUCUUUUGUUUGAAGCAAGGGUCUGAUGACUGCAACCAUCACUGCCAUUUUCUCCUGUGCAGGCUUAGCUAUUCAACUGGACGCAGACUGGAGAUGAUGAUAAAGAUAGGGAAAUGAAGAAAAGUCACUCUUAAAUCAGUUAACUGAGCCUAAACUGUGUUGGCCAAACUGGAAUCACUGAGAUCACCCAGGGGGUUAACUAGAUUCCACUCCAGAUGCAUGCUUUGGGGAGGACUCCAGCUUUGACCUUUCUGAUCUUCAUCAAUAUUUUGGUGGCUGAGUUAACUUGCACUGAUAAGAAGCAAAAAACACAGAACAACUCAUCUCCUGUGGCAGAAGUUAACACUAUGGUGUCGGUACAGAUGCACCUUCUAUGUACAAAGGCUCUGCUCUGCUGCUCUUCAAUUCCACUGAAAAAAGCAGUAUUAAUAACAUGGACGAUAAUACCCAGAGGCCAGCCUUCCUGCAUAAUGUCCUACAAAAUAGACACAAUGGAGACCAAUGAAAUCAACUGCUUGGGCAGGAACAUCACCUGGGUCUUCACACCUGACCUCAGUCCUGACCUUCAGAUCAGUGCAGUGGCCCUCCAGCAUGAGGGGAAUUACUCAUGUGAGAUAGCAACACCUGAAGGAAAUUUCCAAAAAGUCUAUGACCUCCAAGUGCUGGUGCCCCCUGAGGUAAGCUACUCUCCAGGGAAAAAUAGAACUGCAGUUUGUGAGGCAAUUUCAGGCAAGCCUGCUGUGCAAAUCUCUUGGACUCCAGAUGGGGAUUGUGUCACUAAGGAUGAAUCACACAGCAAUGGCACUGUGACUGUCAGGAGCACGUGCCACUGGGAGCAGAACAAUGUGUCUGCUGUGUCCUGCUUUGUCUCUCAUUUGACUGGUAACCAGACUCUGUUCAUAGAUCUGAGUAGAGGUGGUAACCAAUUAUUACAACCAUAUAUUUGGUACAUCAGAUCAUCUAUUAUUAUUUUGAUCAUCAUAGGAUGCAUUUGUCUUUUGAAAAUCAGUGGUUUCAAGUAUUAACUAAUGAAAAUUUUCUUCAACCUUAUUGGAUUAGAAAAGGAAAAUGUAAAUUGCCAAAAUUGGAAGCUACUCCACCUGUUGAGGAGGGCAUGGAAAACCUCUGUAACGAGCCAA